AGCUCAGUUGGUAGAGUGUUUGCCUCACAUGCACAAGGCCCUGGGUUCAAUCCCCAG
This 57-nucleotide transfer RNA is filed under the name Marmota marmota marmota (Alpine marmot). It matches the Rfam family "tRNA", at positions 9 to 63 of the family's 71-position model. Rfam says of the family: Transfer RNA (tRNA) molecules are approximately 80 nucleotides in length. Their secondary structure includes four short double-helical elements and three loops (D, anti-codon, and T loops). The record is from Rfam by way of RNAcentral. RNAcentral also lists the same sequence under 5 other names. Lineage: Eukaryota; Metazoa; Chordata; Mammalia; Rodentia; Sciuridae.